RNAcentral lists this unclassified non-coding RNA (1546 nucleotides) under Hevea brasiliensis (rubber tree). The record is from RNAcentral. Lineage: Eukaryota; Viridiplantae; Streptophyta; Magnoliopsida; Malpighiales; Euphorbiaceae.
GCCGUUUUAGAUGUAGGCUGGGUACUCUCUCCAGUAAGUGAUAGCGUCGUUCUCUCACAGCCACACUCAGUCGAACAGGUGAUGUGCUUUUCUCAGAUACAGUCACUCCCGCCUCAACGCGUGCUCUCUCAGAUACAGGCACUCACGCCUCAACCCGUACUCUCUCAAAUAGUCACUCACGCCCUUCCUGCCUGCCUCUGUGGAACUCAGCCUACCCGUGCUCUCUCAGAUAGGGAAUUAAUACAUCUUGCAGUAUAACAUAAAAGUUGUUGCAUUGCUUUAUGCUUGCAUAAAAUGGAGGAUCAAUCAUUUUUGGAUAGAAUGAUCAACCAUCUACGUGCCUCAUGCAAGUAUUAUACCGGGUAUCCUAAAGAUUUGGGCCAUUCACGGGUUGUUCAUUUUACAUCAGAGCGUGAAUUUGUCCAGCUGCUUCAUGAAGGACGCCCUGUUGUUGUUGCUUUUACCAUCAGGGGUAAUUACACAAAACAUCUUGACCGGGUACUUGAGGAAUCUGCCGCUGAGUUUUAUCCACAUGUAAAAUUUGUGCGUGUUGAAUGUCCAAAAUAUCCUGGAUUUUGUAUAACACGGCAGAAGAAGGAAUAUCCAUUCAUCGAAAUAUUUCACAGUCCAGCACAAGUAUGAUGAUCGUCUUUAGAGAUUUACUGUUCUCAUCUUCAUGUGAUUGGAAAUGGUGGAUGGAUGUCUUUGUUAGUGCAUAAAUCAAGAACUUGCUGGAAGUUAGCCUUUUUUCUUUUAAUAUUACAAAUUUUGGCCCAAUUAUUUUUGGCCUGGGUUUGCAAAUGAUUGGUAGAUUAUGUUGACAGAAUUAAUGUUGGUUUGAUGUUAUCACCCAGCAGUGCCCAUCAUUUUUUCUAAUGGAGGAUAUUGGUCAUCCAUGGAUAAUGGUUACUUAGCAGCCUUGUCUAUAUGAAAUGUUUGAUAAGCAGGAAAGUGGAGUAGGAUAAGUGAAAUUGAUAGCAGAAGUCAAUUAUGCAAUUCAGAAAAUUUUCUUCUUUUUGUUAUGUUUUGCUCUCAGCAAUCAGAUACCAAAGUGAGAAUAGAUAGCAUAAAAGUUUUCUUGAAUCAUUUCCUUACGAUGUGGUCCUUUGUGAAGAAUCAAAUUAUCUUAGAAAAAUAUUUCAUCUUUUCCCCAUGUUCGAUUAACGACUGUUCCCAAUGAACAAAUAAAAGAAAUAUAGAUUAUUAAUAAUGUAAUAUUAUUCCUCUUAGUGUUGCUUGUGUUUCUGAUUCAGGCAGCCAUUCAGGGAAGGGUUGUUGAUCCAGGCAUCACAAGAUACUCUGUAAAAGUUCUACCUUUCAACUAUGACCUCAGUGCUUAUGGAUUUCGAGAAUUUUUCAAGCGCCACAAUAUACAAUCAUCAGAUGCAAAAUAAUGACAUUGUGGUGAAAGAAUUUGGUAUACGUGUCUAUGGCCUAAGAACCAUAGCUUUAUGUCUUUAUGUGCCUAUGGCAGAAUUUGUACUGCUGCUUGUGUUUUUUUUCUUGUGUCUUGUUUCAACCAGAAUUAUUAUUAUUAUUAUUAUUA